RNAcentral lists this ribosomal RNA (1410 nucleotides) under metagenome. RNAcentral describes it as "bacterial LSU rRNA". It matches the Rfam family "Bacterial large subunit ribosomal RNA", at positions 1539 to 2925 of the family's 2925-position model. The record is from RNAcentral.
ACGGCUGGGUAUUAAGCCCGAGAGGUAAUGAGGAGAGCUCUUUGAGCUCAUGAACUCAGUGAUCCCAGGCUUCCGAGAAAAGCUCCGGCGGGAGUGUCUGUGGUGACCGUACCGCAAACCGACACAGGUGGGUGGGGAGAAUAUCCCAAGGCGCUUGAGAGAACCCUCCCUAAGGAACUCGCAAAAUGACACCGUAACUUCGGGAGAAGGUGUGCCUGCGGUAGGUGAAGCGCUUCGCGCGCUGAGCCGAAGCAGGUUGCAGAGAAACGGGGGUAGCGACUGUUUACCAAAAACACAGCACUCUGCCAAGUCGCAAGACGACGUAUAGGGUGUGACUCCUGCCCGGUGCCGGAAGGUUAAGAGGAGUUGUCAGCCGCAAGGCGAAGCGACGAAUCGAAGCCCCGGUAAACGGCGGCCGUAACAAUAACGGUCCUAAGGUAGCGAAAUUCCUUGUCGGGUAAGUUCCGACCUGCACGAAUGGAGUAACGACUUCCCCACUGUCUCGGAGAGGGUCUCAGCGAAGUAGCACUAGGGGUGAAGAUACCCUUUACCUACGGCAGGACGGAAAGACCCCGUGAACCUUUACUGCAACUUGACACUGGCUCUCGGACUAGUUUGCGUAGGAUAGGUGGGAGGCUGUGAAGUCGGGACUCUGGUCUCGGUGGAGCCAACCUUGAAAUACCACCCUGGCUAGUCUAAGAUUCUAACCUGCGCCCGUGAGCCGGGCGGGGGACACUGUCUGGUGGGCAGUUUGACUGGGGCGGUCGCCUCCCAAAAAGUAACGGAGGCGCGCGAAGGUUCCCUCAGGCUGAUUGGAAACCAGCCGAAGAGUGUAAUGGCAUAAGGGAGCUUGACUGCGAGACAAACAAGUCGAGCAGGUGCGAAAGCAGGUCAUAGUGAUCCGGUGGUUCCGAAUGGAAGGGCCAUCGCUCAACGGAUAAAAGGUACUCCGGGGAUAACAGGCUUAUCACGCCCAAGAGUUCACAUCGACGGCGUGGUUUGGCACCUCGAUGUCGGCUCAUCGCAUCCUGGGGCUGAAGUAGGUCCCAAGGGUUUGGCUGUUCGCCAAUUAAAGCGGUACGCGAGCUGGGUUCAAAACGUCGUGAGACAGUUUGGUCCCUAUCCGCCGUGGGCGCAGGAGACUUGAGAGGAGCUGUCCUUAGUACGAGAGGACCGGGAUGGAUCGACCUCUAGUGUUUCGGUUGUUCUGCCAAGAGCAUUGCCGAGUAGCUAUGUCGAGAACGGAUAACCGCUGAAAGCAUCUAAGCGGGAAGCCAACCUCAAGAUUAGGUCUCCCUGGGACGCAAGUCCCCUAAAGGCCCCAUGUAGACCACGUGGUAAUAGGCCAGGUGUGGAAACGCAGCGAUGCGUGGAGCUAACUGGUACUAAUCGGCCGUGAGGCUUGACCAU